Molecule: unclassified non-coding RNA, 835 nt
Filed under: Hevea brasiliensis (rubber tree)
Lineage: Eukaryota; Viridiplantae; Streptophyta; Magnoliopsida; Malpighiales; Euphorbiaceae
Source: RNAcentral
UUUUUUUUCCCUUUUUUUUUUUAUUAAAAGGAGGGGAAGGGGAUGCCGGCGUUAGAACCCUUGACCCCCUGCAUUCUAAGCAAGCACUUGAUUAUUGGGCCUAACGAUGAAAUACUUUUGAGUGAAAGAUCAGAUUCAUUUAUGGUUUUAGCAGAUAAUUUAAUCAAACUGUGGCUUGUGUCAAGAAUUCACCAUUACACCUUUUGGCUGUUGCAUUGUUAAACUGUUAAUGAUUACUGUUGGCAUCUGCUGGGAUGUUACCUUGAGUUGUACCCUUUGAUUUGAUCAUAUGUAUGGUGUAUGUGUUGUGCCUCCUAGCUAAGGGAUCAUUCUUGCAGAAGGUUUUCUCUCUAAUGUCAGGAGAAACACAUACAUGGUUCUCCUUGAUCUUAGUUUUGAAUGCAGCCUUUUGCGCUUUAUUUUAGUUUUGACUGCUAUCUUUUCUGCUUUGUUAGUUAAUGCUAUUUGGGAAUUUACAAAAUUCAGUAUCAGGAGUCUGCAUGUAUAAAACUGUCAUGAGCAUGACUGGCAUUCCGGAAGUAUGCUGUCCAUUUCUUUUGGGGAAGGGGUACAUGUCCCGAUGUCCAUGGCAGGAUUACCCCCACGUGUGCCUAAUUUUGGUUCAGACCACAAUUUCACUGCAUGAAACAUUAAUCCAAAAUAAAUGUGUUUGGAAGCAUUCUUUUUCUGCUUUUCCACUAUAAUUUUAUCUCCUCUACAUAUUCCCCAAAACUGUUUGUACCCAUCAUCCAAUUCCAUCAAGCCUAUUAUUUUGACCUAGUCACAACCAAACAGAAAAACAGAAGAAAGUGGGAAGAAAAUAGAAGAAAGGGAA